This 839-nucleotide unclassified non-coding RNA is filed under the name Hevea brasiliensis (rubber tree). The record is from RNAcentral. Lineage: Eukaryota; Viridiplantae; Streptophyta; Magnoliopsida; Malpighiales; Euphorbiaceae.
AUUCAUUUGUGAAUAAGAAUGAAAGGGCUAGAAGCGAGUGCUUCUAGCUGCUUCGCCUGCUUCUUAUUAUGAUGGCUAUGUUGGCGUGGCGAAAAUGAACGAAAAGCGAUAUGAACGUGCUAUUUUAUUUUCAAAUCGAUUGAUAGAAGCCUGCUGAUCUGUUCUGAUAGAUCAAAAGAGUAGGAAUGGAUAGAGAGGGAAUCUAUCAAUAAUAAGGGGAAAUCCCCUAUUUCUAUCUAUUGAUGAGACAACUAUCUUUUUUUGAUCCAUCAGAAAGAAAUCGAUAUGUAUCUGAUGGAGUCUACAUCGUACGUAGAGCGCCUAAGCGCUUUUUGGGCCAGCUCAGUUCUCUUAUCCAUCGGUCCAAUGCACUGGGCUCAUCUCAUGGAGGGAAAAGCCAAAAUGUAGUUGUCUUGUUGUUGUUCGCCGCCUCGACGCAUUCCCUUCUCUCCCCGGCAUCGUCCCACACAGAAAGAAAGAGCGCAGAGCCCCGGCCCGACCUGUAGGUCCGCUAACGUAAAGCGAGGAGUUGAGCCUGAACUGGCGAACCGAAGUCACUUUCGGAACCAUACUUCCUACAGCUAACACGUGUCCAGUCCAGCGGGAACGCGCAGCGCAAACGAACGUGAGCUGCUAUACCGAAUCCCCCGCUGGCCAUCGGGGACCGAGUGGUAAGGCCAUGAUCUGCAGGGGAACGGAUCACUCAUUCUUCCAUUGGGGACAGGUGCACGAACGACAACUCCAAACGUCACACAUCCGCCGCCUACCUACCGUUUAGGUGGCACCAGCGAGAUCCAGCUAAGGUAAGGAACUUCGUGUCGCGGCUGCUCCACUCCGCC